GCCAGAUACAGUGGCACAUACCUAUAAUCCCAGCUACUGGGGAGGCUGAAACUGGUAUAGAUCUCUUGAGCUCAGGAGUUCGGUGCUGUUGUGAGCUAAGCCCGAUUGGUAUGUGCACUAAUCAUGGCAUUAAUAUGGUGAGCCCUCUGGGAAUGGGGUCCACCAGUUUCCCUAAGAGGGACACACAAGGCCCAGAUCGGAAAACAGGGCAGGUCAAAGCUCCUGUGUCAAUCAGAGUGGAACCGGUCUGUGAGUAACUCUGGCAUCCAGCCUGGUUCAGAAAGAGGAAACCAGUCUUU
RNAcentral lists this signal recognition particle RNA (299 nucleotides) under Vombatus ursinus (common wombat). RNAcentral's name for it is "Metazoan signal recognition particle RNA (ENSVURG00010011800.1)". It matches the Rfam family "Metazoan signal recognition particle RNA". Rfam says of the family: The signal recognition particle (SRP) is a universally conserved ribonucleoprotein. It is involved in the co-translational targeting of proteins to membranes. Lineage: Eukaryota; Metazoa; Chordata; Mammalia; Diprotodontia; Vombatidae. The record is from RNAcentral.